AUACUUACCUGGCAAGGGAGAACUGUGAUCAAGAAGGCAGUCCACCCGGGUGAGGCUCAGCCAUUGCACUCCGGCUGUGCUGGACCCCUGCGAAUUUCCCAAAUGUGGAAAUCUCGAUUGCAUAAUUUAUGGUAGUGGGGACUGCGUUCGCGCUCUCCCCU
The sequence is a small nuclear RNA, 161 nucleotides long. Its record names the gene U1. It matches the Rfam family "U1 spliceosomal RNA". From Rfam's summary of the family: U1 is a small nuclear RNA (snRNA) component of the spliceosome (involved in pre-mRNA splicing). The record is from Ensembl.